UAGUUUUGAGUAAAAUCAACUUGGUAUUACAAAUUGACAAUUUUGUGUAGAAAAGCAACAAGUGUCUUACAGCUCAAAACCUUUUGCAGAAACGAAUGAUGGUUUAAGGCCUCUUCAAGCUGAAACAGCAUAUUCCAAAUUCUAUUUACAACCUUGGUUACUUGAAACAGUGGAUUCAUUAACAUAUUUGAACCACUCUCAAAACUUGUUCACGUCAAUGAACCAAUUCUCAAAACUUGUAAGAAAUCAACAUUGAAGAAGUGUGCAUAUUUGGUGAGCUCUAAGAAAUCAGCAACCAAGUAGGUUACAAUUAAAAGCUGUAAAUGAUUUAUGGAGGAAUUCUAUGCCAUCCAAAGCUUUAAAAUUGAUCCUUUCUUUUGUGUUUUCAGUGUGUUCUGGUUUCAACAUAGGG
Molecule: long non-coding RNA, 412 nt
Filed under: Trifolium pratense (red clover)
Lineage: Eukaryota; Viridiplantae; Streptophyta; Magnoliopsida; Fabales; Fabaceae
Description: long non-coding RNA (TPRA_LNC000805)
Source: RNAcentral